UAGGGAAUCUUCCGCAAUGGGCGAAAGCCUGACGGAGCAACGCCGCGUGAGUGAUGAAGGUCUUCGGAUCGUAAAACUCUGUUAUUAGGGAAGAACAAAUGUGUAAGUAACUAUGCACGUCUUGACGGUACCUAAUCAUAAAGCCACGGCUAACUACGUGCCAGCAGCCGCGGUAAUACGUAGGUGGCAAGCGUUAUCCGGAAUUAUUGGGCGUAAAGCGCGCGUAGGCGGUUUUUUAAGUCUGAUGUGAAAGCCCACGGCUAAACCGUGGAGGGUCAUUGGAGACUGGAAAACUUGAGUUCAGAAGAGGAAAGUGGAAUUCCAUGUGUAGCGGUGAAAUGCGCAGAGAUAUGGAGGAACACCAGUGGCGAAGGCGACUUUCUAGUCUGUAACUGACGCUGAUGUGCGAAAGCGUGGGGAUCAAACAGG
This 429-nucleotide ribosomal RNA is filed under the name Actinomycetes bacterium. RNAcentral's name for it is "Actinobacteria bacterium partial 16S ribosomal RNA". It matches the Rfam family "Bacterial small subunit ribosomal RNA", at positions 355 to 776 of the family's 1533-position model. Lineage: Bacteria; Bacillati; Actinomycetota; Actinomycetes. The record is from RNAcentral.